Molecule: unclassified non-coding RNA, 202 nt
Filed under: uncultured Tomentella
Lineage: Eukaryota; Fungi; Basidiomycota; Agaricomycetes; Thelephorales; Thelephoraceae
Description: sequence contains ITS1
Source: RNAcentral
CCGAAUUGCCAACAUGAGUUGUUGCUGGCCCUCAAUGGGGGCAUGUGCACGCUCUGUUUGCACAUCCACUCACACCUGUGCACGCUCUGUAGUUCUGUGGCCUGUGGGACUCUGUCCUCCUGUGCUGUGGUUCUAUAUCUUUACACACACACACUGUAAUGAAGUAUCGUGGAAUGUAUGCUGCGUUUAACGCAAUACAAUA